GGACAGAUAAAUUUGUGUGGCAGUAUAGAUCGAGCACAGUUGGGAACCAAGGACUGAACCUUGGGGGAGACCAACAGAGAGAGGUUGGGAGGGAGAGGCAGAGACAGAGAACGAAAUACUAAAAGAGUGCGGGGUGAGGUAGGAGCACCAGGAGAGAGCAAUAUCUCAUAGAUUGAGAUUAAGGAGGAUGAGAAGAAGCUGUUGAUGAUCAACAGUAUCAAAAGCAGUGACAAGGUCAAGGAGAAUUAGGAUAGAGUAGUGACCAUGAGAUUUUGCAGCGAGUGGAUCAUUUGAUACUUUGGUCAGAGCCGUUUCCACAGAGUGCUGAGCGCGGACACCAGACUGAAGUGGGUCGAGCAGAGAACUGGACUUGAGGAAGUUUGUCAAUCUCG
This is a non-coding RNA of Pelobates cultripes (western spadefoot toad), 392 nucleotides long. Lineage: Eukaryota; Metazoa; Chordata; Amphibia; Anura; Pelobatidae. The record is from the annotation of a GenBank genome assembly.